AUACGGAGGGGGCUAGCGUUGUUCGGAAUUACUGGGCGUAAAGCUCGCGUAGGCGGAUUGAUCAGUCAGGGGUGAAAUCCCGGAGCUUAACUCCGGAACUGCCUUUGAUACUGUCAAUCUUGAGUUCGAGAGAGGUGAGUGGAAUUCCUAGUGUAGAGGUGAAAUUCGUAGAUAUUAGGAAGAACACCAGUGGCGAAGGCGGCUCACUGGCUCGAUACUGACGCUGAGGUGCGAAAGCGUGGGGAGCAAACAGGAUUAGAAACCCUAGUAGUCC
This 274-nucleotide ribosomal RNA is filed under the name uncultured bacterium. RNAcentral describes it as "partial 16S ribosomal RNA". It matches the Rfam family "Bacterial small subunit ribosomal RNA", at positions 523 to 796 of the family's 1533-position model. The record is from RNAcentral.